AUUGAACGCUGGCGGCAUGCCUAACACAUGCAAGUCGAACGGCAGCACGGUCUAGUUUACUAGAUGGGUGGCGAGUGGCGGACGGGUGAGUAAUGCGCAGGAAUAUGCCUUAAAGAGGGGGAUAACUUGGGGAAACUCAAGCUAAUACCGCAUAAUCUCUGAGGAGAGAAGCUGGGGACCUUCGGGCCUGGCGCUUUAAG
This 200-nucleotide ribosomal RNA is filed under the name uncultured bacterium. Its description in RNAcentral is "partial 16S ribosomal RNA". It matches the Rfam family "Bacterial small subunit ribosomal RNA", at positions 30 to 224 of the family's 1533-position model. The record is from RNAcentral.